Aotus nancymaae (Ma's night monkey) is the source of this 102-nucleotide unclassified non-coding RNA. It matches the Rfam family "Y RNA". Rfam says of the family: Y RNAs are components of the Ro ribonucleoprotein particle (Ro RNP), in association with Ro60 and La proteins. The Y RNAs and Ro60 and La proteins are well conserved, but the function of the Ro RNP is not known. The record is from Ensembl. Lineage: Eukaryota; Metazoa; Chordata; Mammalia; Primates; Aotidae.
GGCUGGUCCAAGUGCAGUGGUGUUGACAACUAAUUGAUCACAACCAGUUACAUAUUUCUUUGUUCCUUCUCCACUCCCACUGCUUCAUGUGACUUGCCUUAA